UAGGGAAUAUUGCUUAAUGGGCGAAAGCCUGAAGCAGCAACGCCGCGUGGACGAAGAAGGCCUUCGGGUUGUAAAGUUCUUUUAUAUGGGAUGAGGAAGGACAGUACCAUAUGAAUAAGUCUCGGCUAACUACGUGCCAGCAGCCGCGGUAAAACGUAGGAGACGAGCGUUAUCCGGAUUUACUGGGCGUAAAGAGCGUGUAGGAGGCAAUACAAGUUGGAUGUAAAAGCUCUCGGCUAAACUGAGAGAGGACGUUCAAGACUGUAGAGCUAGAGGAAGGCAGAGGUAGAUGGAACUCCGGGAGUAGGGGUGAAAUGCGUAGAUAUCCGGAAGAACACCAGAGGCGAAAGCGAUCUACUGGGCCUUAACAGACACUGAGACGCGAAAGCCAGGGUAGCAAACGG
Molecule: ribosomal RNA, 404 nt
Filed under: uncultured bacterium
Lineage: Bacteria
Description: bacterial SSU rRNA
Rfam family: Bacterial small subunit ribosomal RNA
Source: RNAcentral